GAAAAAGCAGUGGUUUGGUUCCUAUAUGAGCAGUCCACCCGUAACCUUCAGGGAUAUAAAACCCAUUG
RNAcentral lists this non-coding RNA (68 nucleotides) under Medicago truncatula (barrel medic). The record is from Rfam by way of RNAcentral. Lineage: Eukaryota; Viridiplantae; Streptophyta; Magnoliopsida; Fabales; Fabaceae.